This 253-nucleotide ribosomal RNA is filed under the name uncultured bacterium. RNAcentral describes it as "partial 16S ribosomal RNA". It matches the Rfam family "Bacterial small subunit ribosomal RNA", at positions 524 to 776 of the family's 1533-position model. The record is from RNAcentral.
UACAGAGGUCUCAAGCGUUGUUCGGAUUCAUUGGGCGUAAAGGGUGCGUAGGUGGCGAGGCAAGUCUGGUGUGAAAUCUCGGAGCUCAACUCCGAAACUGCACUGGAUACUGCCUUGCUCGAGUACUGGAGAGGAGAUUGGAAUUUACGGUGUAGCAGUGAAAUGCGUAGAUAUCGUAAGGAAGACCAGUGGCGAAGGCGAAUCUCUGGACAGUUACUGACACUGAGGCACGAAGGCCAGGGGAGCAAACGGG